This 798-nucleotide ribosomal RNA is filed under the name uncultured Glomus. RNAcentral's name for it is "SSU rRNA". It matches the Rfam family "Eukaryotic small subunit ribosomal RNA", at positions 314 to 1114 of the family's 1831-position model. Lineage: Eukaryota; Fungi; Glomeromycota; Glomeromycetes; Glomerales; Glomeraceae. The record is from RNAcentral.
AUCAACUUUCGAUUGGUAGGAUAGAGGCCUACCAUGGUGGUAACGGGUAACGGGGUGUUAGGGCACGACACCGGAGAGGGAGCCUGAGAAACGACUACCACAUCCAAGGAUGACAGCAGGCGCGCAAAUUACCCAAUCCCGACACGGGGAGGUAGUGACAAUAAAUAACAAUACGGGGUUCUUUCGGAUCUCGUAAUUGGAAUGAGUACAAUUUAAAUCUCUUAACGAGGAACAAUUGGAGGGCAAGUCUGGUGCCAGCAGCCGCGGUAAUUCCAGCUCCAAUAGCGUAUAUUAAAGUUGUUGCAGUUAAAAAGCUCGUAGUUGAAUUUCGGGGUUAGUAGGCUGGUCAUGCCACCGGUAUGUACUGGUCUUACUGAUUCCUCCUUCCUGAUGAACUGUAAUGCCAUUAAUUUGGUGUUGCAGGGAAUCUGGACUGUUACUUUGAAAAAAUUAGAGUGUUUAAAGCAGGCUAACGCUUGAAUACAUUAGCAUGGAAUAAUGAAAUAGGACGUUCGAUCCUAUUUUGUUGGUUUCUAGGAUUGACGUAAUGAUUAAUAGGGAUAGUUGGGGGCAUUAGUAUUCAAUUGUCAGAGGUGAAAUUCUUGGAUUUAUUGAAGACUAACUACUGCGAAAGCAUUUGCCAAGGAUGUUUUCAUUAAUCAAGAACGAAAGUUAGGGGAUCGAAGACGAUCAGAUACCGUCGUAGUCUUAACCAUAAACUAUGCCGACUAGGGAUCGGAUGAUGUUAAUUUUUUAAUGACUCAUUCGGCGUCUUACGGGAAACAAAGUGUUGGGUUC